GUGGGGUCAUAGCUUAGCUGUAGAGCGCUUGUCUUACACUUGUGAGGUACUGGGUUCAAUCCUCAGCACCACA
This 73-nucleotide transfer RNA is filed under the name Marmota monax (woodchuck). Its description in RNAcentral is "tRNA.Val". The record is from RNAcentral. Lineage: Eukaryota; Metazoa; Chordata; Mammalia; Rodentia; Sciuridae.